CCGCUUGCCUCGCCCAGCGCAGCCCCGGCCGCUGGGCGCACCCGUCCCGUUCGUCCCCGGACGUUGCUCUCUACCCCGGGAACGUCGAGACUGGAGCGCCCGAACUGAGCCACCUUCGCGGACCCCGAGAGCGGCGGCGCGACUCACCGCGGAGGCGCCCGGACGCGUCAAGCCCAGCCCAAUAGGAAGCACCUGAUCCACACUCUUUCUAGCCCCAGGGAUGCUCAGGAAAGCAGCCUUUCUUUAGGGCUGUCAUCUGUUCUGGGGAUCUGUUGCUGUUUCUUGGGCCCACAGAAUACACUCCACACCUCGGGACUCCAUAAUAUUGGACAAGGCUGGAAGGCCCAUUUGGCUCCUGCAGCCUCUUAUGCAGGAGGACCUCCUGAGGCUUCGGGCAGGAGCUGGUGCACACCUGGAGGAGAGUGCUGGUGAAUGGCAGGUGUGUGCCUCAGUGUCCUUGCUGCCAGGGUGUCAGCCCUGCUUCACCACUGGCCGUUUGUCUCUGUCCCCUCCACUGGCCUCUUGAAGCACAGAGACCCUCCGGUCAUCCUCUUCAGCGGUCCUCCCAGAGCUGUCCUCAGCAUGGCAGCCUCCACAGCCCCUGGGUGUCACCCCCGGUUUCGUGUCUGCCUCGGACUCCAGACCUGCCCCUCCCAGGCUGGCCCAGAUGGAUCCUCUACAGUGACUAACCCAAACCAGCACCAGGCAGGGACCCAAUAAACCUUUGUGAAUGGAGUAAAAAAAAAAAAAAAAAAAAAAAAAAAAAAA
This 768-nucleotide long non-coding RNA is filed under the name Homo sapiens (human). RNAcentral describes it as "DIO3 opposite strand upstream RNA, transcript variant 2 (DIO3OS)". The stretch from base 31 to 104 matches the Rfam family "mir-1247 microRNA precursor family". The record is from RNAcentral. Lineage: Eukaryota; Metazoa; Chordata; Mammalia; Primates; Hominidae.